UCACAGUCUCCCCUAUGGUUGAACCUCCAUGAGACAUCACAGCCUGUGACUCCCAAUGCAUCACAUGAAAUAUAGUCUGGCUGGGAAGCCCAACCCAAACUACAACUCCUAUGAGGCAGUGUGGCAGGUGCAAGACAUGGAUGACGUAUUGACGCCAUCAUAAGCACCUGGAGUGGUACCACCAGUGAUGCUUUAGGAAGAUUCUCCAUAUCAGAUGGGAAGACUGUUGCAUCAAUGCAAGCAUCCUCUCUGCAGCUAACAUCACGAGUGUUGAGGCAAAUGUUAUGUAACAUCAACUUCGCUGGUUUGGUCA
Molecule: long non-coding RNA, 313 nt
Organism: Mauremys reevesii (Reeves's turtle)
Lineage: Eukaryota; Metazoa; Chordata; Testudines; Geoemydidae
Exons: 2
Source: RefSeq, a predicted model, not a curated record